This 254-nucleotide ribosomal RNA is filed under the name uncultured bacterium. RNAcentral's name for it is "partial 16S ribosomal RNA". It matches the Rfam family "Bacterial small subunit ribosomal RNA", at positions 524 to 776 of the family's 1533-position model. The record is from RNAcentral.
UACGAAGGGGGCGAGCGUUUGUUCGGAUUUACUGGGCGUAAAGGGCGCGCAGGCGGCUCAUUUUGUCAGGCGUGAAAGCCCCGGGCUUAACCUGGGAGGUGCGUUUGAUACGGAUGGGCUAGAGUUCGGGAGAGGAGAGUGGAAUUCCCAGUGUAGAGGUGAAAUUCGUAGAUAUUGGGAAGAACACCGGUGGCGAAGGCGGCUCUCUGGACCGAGACUGACGCUGAGGCGCGAAAGCGUGGGGAGCAAACAGG